AUUGAACGCUGGCGGCAGGCCUAACACAUGCAAGUCGAGCGAGCGGCGGACGGGAGAGUAAUGUCUGGGAAACUGCCUGAUGGGGGGGGAUAACUACUGGAACCGGUAGCUAAUACCGCAUACCAUCAGAUGUACCCAGAUGUGAUUAGCUAUUGGGUGGGGUAAAGGCUCACCAAGGCGACGAUCCCUAGCGGGUCUGAGAGGAUGACCAGCAACACGGGAACGGAGACACGGCCCAGACUCCUACGGGAGGAAGCAGUGGGGAAUAUUGCACAAUGGGCGAAAGCCUGACGCAGCCAGGCGGCGUGGGUGAAGAGGGCCUUCGGGUUGUAAAGCACUUUCAGCGAGGAGGCGUUACUCGCAGAAGAAGCACCGGCUAACUCCGUGCCAGCAGCCGCGGUAAUUC
This 406-nucleotide ribosomal RNA is filed under the name uncultured bacterium. RNAcentral's name for it is "partial 16S ribosomal RNA". It matches the Rfam family "Bacterial small subunit ribosomal RNA", at positions 29 to 526 of the family's 1533-position model. The record is from RNAcentral.